UACAGGGUGCUAACAAUGAGGUGAGAAAUGUACACGGAGAGGGUAAAUCAAAUGGCCACGAAACGCGGGGAAGCAGAACACUAAUCACGCUUCUUUCUCUUGAUCUUGGAAAGGGAUGCAUUUAAACGUAUUAAAUGAACAAGGAGACAGAAAAUAAGGAGGAUUCAAAACGUGGCGAAGUGGAGCCCCUUUAAUUUUCCUUCCCGUUGGGCGUGAAGGUGCAAUUUCCAGAAAAUAUAAGCAAUCCGAAUUACACUGAUGCAUAAAAAUGAAGGUUGCGGUGUGAUGUGUGGCUUAUUUUACUAAUUCCUUUUCAUCAGCAUCUACUAUUAAGCGGCACUUCUCUUUUGUCAUCACUUAGGAAUAAAACUCGAGCAGCUUUUAGGGAUCCUCAAGGUGAGCUACUGUUUUGAAGUUACUCAGUUUUCAUAGUAAUUUGCCACCUGUGGCAUCUAUGGUUUUACUUCUAACAGUUAUCUAUUGUUCACAGCAUAAAUCGAUGUUAUCGUGUAUCUAUGGGGUUCUCUUUUAACUAUCUAUUGUCCAGUGUAUAAAUUGACAUCAUGCAUCUGCGGUUAUUUCUAUUGCCUUUAACGUUUAUCUAUGACAUGAACAAUGAAUAAAGUUGACAUCUCGUCACCAUUUUAUAAUUUAGGUGUUUUACUUGCGUCUUUGUGCAUGUUUUACUUAAUUUAAAUCCAUUUUUUAAUUAAUUGUGUAACUAAUACCAUUUUUUGUCCAUCUCUCCAGAUCGUCUGACAAAUGGGAGAGAAUUAAAGUUCAGGUUGAUGACUACAAUGUUUGGUGGACUACAUUCUUGAUUUGCUGUUUUCGUCUUCACCUUGCAACAUUAUACAGUCAAUUUUCAAGUGAUGAGUGAGAGCAACUGAAGAUUUAUGUGAAUUCCACUGAAAUAAGAAAUUUUCUGCAUUGGAAUUCCUCUUGGAUUUGAUUUGCUUUGCUUUUCACACCUGCAAACUUUGGAACAUUAUGGUCUACAGUUAAUUAAGAUCGACGUUGGAGAAGACAAAGAUGACCCCUUGGUUAAAACAGUUCUCUAUCUUGCAUGCUAUAUGUAAUAGAAUUCAAGUUCAUUUUAUUCAAAUUAGUUUUUUUAUUAUGCAUGUUUUUUUGUAGUUUAUUUAAAUUAGUUUUUA
Agrilus planipennis (emerald ash borer) is the source of this 1157-nucleotide long non-coding RNA. RefSeq lists it as uncharacterized. Lineage: Eukaryota; Metazoa; Arthropoda; Insecta; Coleoptera; Buprestidae. The transcript has 4 exons. The record is from RefSeq and is a predicted model, not a curated record.